CCUACGGGAGGCAGCAGUCGAGAAUCAUUCACAAUGGGGGAAACCCUGAUGGUGCGACGCCGCGUGGGGGAAUGAAGGUCUUCGGAUUGUAAACCCCUGUCAUGUGGGAGCAAAUUAAAAAGAUAGUACCACAAGAGGAAGAGACGGCUAAAUCUGUGCCAGCAGCCGCGGGAAUACAGAGGUCUCAAGCGUUGUUCGGAAUCACUGGGCGUAAAGCGUGCGUAGGCUGUUUCGUAAGUCGUGUGUGAAAGGCGCGGGCUCAACCCGCGGACGGCACAUGAUACUGCGAGACUAGAGUAAUGGAGGGGGAACCGGAAUUCGCGGUGUAGCAGUGAAAUGCGUAGAUAUCGAGAGGAACACUCGUGGCGAAGGCGGGUUCCUGGACAUUAACUGACGCUGAGGCACGAAGGCCAGGGGAGCGAAAGGGAUUAGAUACCCCAGUAGUC
RNAcentral lists this ribosomal RNA (446 nucleotides) under uncultured bacterium. RNAcentral's name for it is "partial 16S ribosomal RNA". It matches the Rfam family "Bacterial small subunit ribosomal RNA", at positions 338 to 795 of the family's 1533-position model. The record is from RNAcentral.